UGCGGAGGACAUUACCGUGUCCGUCGGGGCCGGGCUCCGGCCCGGUCCCGCACCCGGCCAUCCGUGUCUACUUUACCUGUUGCUUCGGCGGGCCUGCGGCCUCCGGGCUGCUGCCGGGGGAUCUUCGGGAUCCCCGGGCUCGUGUCCGCCGAAGACCACUGGAACUCUAGUGAAGAAUGACGUCUGAGUCUUGAUGAAAAUUAAUUUAAAACUUUCAACAACGGAUCUCUUGGUUCCGACAUCGAUGAAGAACGCAGCGAAAUGCGAUAAGUAAUGUGAAUUGCAGAAUUCCGUGAAUCAUCGAAUCUUUGAACGCACAUUGCGCCCUCUGGUAUUCCGGAGGGCAUGUCUGUCCGAGCGUCAUUGCAACCCUCAAGCCCGGCUUGUGUGUUGGGCCCCGUCCCCGCGGUGGACGGGCCCGAAAAACCAGUGGCGGUACCGAGCUCCGGUGCCCGAGCGUAUGGGGCUUUGUCACGCGCUCAGGUGGCCCGGCCGGUGCCCGCCGACCCCCGGUGGGCUGCGGGGAGGAUCCGUCCUUUUCCCGUGCCCCCGACUUUCCAGGUUGACCUCGGAUCAGAUAGGGAUACCCGCUGAACUUAAGCAUAUCAAUAA
RNAcentral lists this unclassified non-coding RNA (612 nucleotides) under Strongyloarthrosporum catenulatum. RNAcentral's name for it is "sequence contains 18S rRNA gene, ITS1, 5.8S rRNA gene, ITS2". The stretch from base 210 to 363 matches the Rfam family "5.8S ribosomal RNA". Lineage: Eukaryota; Fungi; Ascomycota; Eurotiomycetes; Onygenales; Helicoarthrosporaceae. The record is from RNAcentral.